UCCACGCCGUAAACGAUGGAUACUAGGUGUAGGGGGCGAUAGCCUUCUGUGCCGCAGCUAACGCAAUAAGUAUCCCGCCUGGGGAGUACGAUCGCAAGGUUGAAACUCAAAGGAAUUGACGGGGGCCCGCACAAGCAGCGGAGCAUGUGGUUUAAUUCGAAGCAACGCGAAGAACCUUACCAAGGCUUGACAUCCCUUGACGUGCAUAGAAAUAUGUACUCCCUUCGGGGCAAGGAGACAGGUGGUGCAUGGUUGUCGUCAGCUCGUGUCGUGAGAUGUUGGGUUAAGUCCCGCAACGAGCGCAACCCUUAUUGCUAGUUGC
RNAcentral lists this ribosomal RNA (322 nucleotides) under uncultured bacterium. RNAcentral describes it as "bacterial SSU rRNA". It matches the Rfam family "Bacterial small subunit ribosomal RNA", at positions 794 to 1118 of the family's 1533-position model. The record is from RNAcentral.